This 229-nucleotide ribosomal RNA is filed under the name uncultured bacterium. Its description in RNAcentral is "partial 16S ribosomal RNA". It matches the Rfam family "Bacterial small subunit ribosomal RNA", at positions 568 to 796 of the family's 1533-position model. The record is from RNAcentral.
UGCGUAGGCGGACUAAUAAGUCAGUGGUGAAAUCUCUCGGCUCAACCGGGAAACUGCCAUUGAUACUGUUAGUCUUGAGUUCGGUUGAGGUAGGCGGAAUGUGUAAUGUAGCGGUGAAAUGCUUAGAUAUUACACGGAACACCAAUUGCGUAGGCAGCUUACUAGACCGACACUGACGCUGAGGCACGAAAGCGUGGGUAGCGAACAGGAUUAGAUACCCUGGUAGUCC